GCAAUAUAAAACCCCAUCAGGUGUCCUGUUGGUGGCAAUAUAAAACCCCAUCAGGUGUCCUGUUGGUGGCAAUAUAAAACCCCAUCAGGUGUCCUGUUGGUGGCAAUAUAAAACCCCAUCAGGUGUCCUGUUGGUGGCAAUAUAAAACCCCAUCAGGUGUCCUGUUGGUGGCAAUAUAAAACCCCAUCAGGUGUCCUGUUGGUGGCAAUAUAAAACCCCAUCAGGAGUCCUGUUGGUGGCAAUAUAAAAC
This is a long non-coding RNA of Oncorhynchus tshawytscha (Chinook salmon), 250 nucleotides long. RefSeq lists it as uncharacterized. The transcript is spliced from 3 exons. The record is from RefSeq and is a predicted model, not a curated record. NCBI's taxonomy places the organism in Eukaryota, Metazoa, Chordata, Actinopteri, Salmoniformes, Salmonidae.